This 461-nucleotide ribosomal RNA is filed under the name uncultured bacterium. RNAcentral's name for it is "partial 16S ribosomal RNA". It matches the Rfam family "Bacterial small subunit ribosomal RNA", at positions 28 to 507 of the family's 1533-position model. The record is from RNAcentral.
GGUGAACGCUGGCGGCGUGCUUAAUACAUGCAAGUCGAACGAUCGUCUUCGGACGGGAGUGGCGCACGGGGUAGUAACGCGUAACUUACCUGCCCCCAAGUUCCGAAUAACCCGGCGGAAGGAGGGCUAAUACGGGAUGUGCUGUCGCCUCCUGUCAGGCCAGGAAAGGCUUGACCGCUUGGGGGUGGGGUGCCGUUCCACCAGCUAGAUGUUGGGGUAAAGGCCUACCAUGGCAACGACGGAUAACCGGCCGGGGAGGGUGGACGGUCACACGGGCACUGAGACAAGGGUAGGACGCCUACGGGAGGCAGCAGUUAGGAAUCUAAGCCAGUCGACGCAAGUCUGAGGGAGCGACGCCGCGUGACGGAUCAAGGUUCUCGGUUCGUAAACCUGUGAAUCAGGGACGAAAGAAGCGGAAGACGGAUGAGGGUACCUGCGUAAUAGCACCGGCUAACUCCGUG